UACGUAGGGGGCAAGCGUUGUCCGGAUUUAUUGGGCGUAAAGAGCGUGUAGGCGGCCACACAGGUCAGCUGUGAAAACUCGAGGCUCAACCUCGAGACGUCGGUUGAAACCGUAUGGCUAGAGUCCGGAAGAGGAGAGUGGAAUUCCCGGUGUAGCGGUGAAAUGCGCAGAUAUCGGGAAGAACACCCGUGGCGAAGGCGGCACUCUGGGACGGUACUGACGCUGAGACGCGAAAGCGUGGGGAGCGAACAGG
RNAcentral lists this ribosomal RNA (253 nucleotides) under uncultured bacterium. RNAcentral's name for it is "partial 16S ribosomal RNA". It matches the Rfam family "Bacterial small subunit ribosomal RNA", at positions 524 to 776 of the family's 1533-position model. The record is from RNAcentral.